GAUGAACGCUGGCGGCGUGCCUAAUACAUGCAAGUCGAGCGAACGGACGAGAAGCUUGCUUCUCUGAUGUUAGCGGCGGACGGGUGAGUAACACGUGGAUAACCUACCUAUAAGACUGGGAUAACUUCGGGAAACCGGAGCUAAUACCGGAUAAUAUUUUGAACCGCAUGGUUCAAAAGUGAAAGACGGUCUUGCUGUCACUUAUAGAUGGAUCCGCGCUGCAUUAGCUAGUUGGUAAGGUAACGGCUUACCAAGGCAACGAUGCAUAGCCGACCUGAGAGGGUGAUCGGCCACACUGGAACUGAGACACGGUCCAGACUCCUACGGGAGGCAGCAGUAGGGAAUCCUCCGCAAUGGGCGAAAGCCUGACGGAGCAACGCCGCGUGAGUGAUGAAGGUCUUCGGAUCGUAAAACUCUGUUAUUAGGGAAGAACAUAUGUGUAAGUAACUGUGCACAUCUUGACGGUACCUAAUCAGAAAGCCACGGCUAACUACGUGCCAGCAGCCGCGGUAAUACGUAGGUGGCAAGCGUUAUCCGGAAUUAUUGGGCGUAAAGCGCGCGUAGGCGGUUUUUUAAGUCUGAUGUGAAAGCCCACGGCUCAACCGUGGAGGGUCAUUGGAAACUGGAAAACUUGAGUGCAGAAGAGGAAAGUGGAAUUCCAUGUGUAGCGGUGAAAUGCGCAGAGAUAUGGAGGAACACCAGUGGCGAAGGCGACUUUCUGGUCUGUAACUGACGCUGAUGUGCGAAAGCGUGGGGAUCAAACAGGAUUAGAUACCCUGGUAGUCCACGCCGUAAACGAUGAGUGCUAAGUGUUAGGGGGUUUCCGCCCCUUAGUGCUGCAGCUAACGCAUUAAGCACUCCGCCUGGGGAGUACGACCGCAAGGUUGAAACUCAAAGGAAUUGACGGGGACCCGCACAAGCGGUGGAGCAUGUGGUUUAAUUCGAAGCAACGCGAAGAACCUUACCAAAUCUUGACAUCCUUUGACAACUCUAGAGAUAGAGCCUUCCCCUUCGGGGGACAAAGUGACAGGUGGUGCAUGGUUGUCGUCAGCUCGUGUCGUGAGAUGUUGGGUUAAGUCCCGCAACGAGCGCAACCCUUAAGCUUAGUUGCCAUCAUUAAGUUGGGCACUCUAAGUUGACUGCCGGUGACAAACCGGAGGAAGGUGGGGAUGACGUCAAAUCAUCAUGCCCCUUAUGAUUUGGGCUACACACGUGCUACAAUGGACAAUACAAAGGGCAGCGAAACCGCGAGGUCAAGCAAAUCCCAUAAAGUUGUUCUCAGUUCGGAUUGUAGUCUGCAACUCGACUACAUGAAGCUGGAAUCGCUAGUAAUCGUAGAUCAGCAUGCUACGGUGAAUACGUUCCCGGGUCU
Molecule: ribosomal RNA, 1372 nt
Filed under: uncultured bacterium
Lineage: Bacteria
Description: bacterial SSU rRNA
Rfam family: Bacterial small subunit ribosomal RNA
Source: RNAcentral